GAUGAACGCUAGCGGCGGGCUUAAUACAUGCAAGUCGAACGGUAACAGGUCUUCGGACGCUGACGAGUGGCGCACGGGUGCGUAACACGUACACAACCUACCCUAAAGAGGGGGAUAGCUCUUGGAAACGAGGAAUAAUACCCCAUAGUACUUGAUGGUCGCAUGAUUUUCAAGUUAAAGGUUUACUGCUUUAGGAUGGGUGUGCGGGCCAUUAGGUAGUUGGAGAGGUAACGGCUCACCAAGCCUACGAUGGUUAGCUGGUCUGAGAGGAUGAUCAGCCACACGGGCACUGAGACACGGGCCCGACUCCUACGGGAGGCAGCAGUAAGGAAUAUUGGACAAUGGGCGAAAGCCUGAUCCAGCCACGCCGCGUGCAGGAUGAAGGUCCUCUGGAUUGUAAACUGCUUUUGACAGAGACGAACGGUCGGGAGUUUAUCUUGAAUCGACGGUAUCUGUCGAAUAAGCACCGGCUAACUACGUGCCAGCAGCCGCGGUAAU
RNAcentral lists this ribosomal RNA (498 nucleotides) under uncultured bacterium. Its description in RNAcentral is "bacterial SSU rRNA". It matches the Rfam family "Bacterial small subunit ribosomal RNA", at positions 28 to 524 of the family's 1533-position model. The record is from RNAcentral.